CGAUCCUCAUAGGAGCCUCCA
RNAcentral lists this unclassified non-coding RNA (21 nucleotides) under Dictyostelium discoideum. Lineage: Eukaryota; Evosea; Eumycetozoa; Dictyosteliales; Dictyosteliaceae. The record is from RNAcentral.